GAGUGAGAUUCUAAUGUGCUCCCAGGUGACACCAAGAUACUGCUAGUCUGUGAACUCCCACUUUGGGUAGGAAGGCUAUAAGAGAGGAAGGAGCUUGGAGGCUCAGAGGAACGGAAAUGCUGGCAUGAAGCUAUGACUCGUAGCCUGUUUAACAUCACCUAACCAUCUGCCCUGCAGGACUGGAGCAUUUCACCAAGGCAGGAAAAAUGCAUUGAUGAGAGGCGAACUGGGAUCCUUGAAGAACUCUGAAAUGACUCCUCUGAAGGUGGGAGAUGGCAGUGAUGCUGCUGCAGAGGAACUGGUUUCCCUAGUUUUAAGAGGAGUAGUAGAGACCAGCCUAUCUUUUUCAGUCUAACUUUCGUGGCCCUGGCUGAAGAACCUAGGAUGCAGAGAGAAAAGGUGUUUUUUUCUUCUAUACUAUCCAUACACCAAGAGCAAGGAGCUGACAGUGCAGAUACAUGAGUAAUACAGCUACAGACAGUGACAGCCAAGAGAAAUGGCCCCUCAUGGGUCAACCUACGUUUCUGUGGCUGUGCUCUGUUGUUUAAAUACGGACAUUUGUAGUACCCAGGAUUGAGCACAUAACUGCCUUGGUGGAAACUCGGAAUGAUUCUGACCUCUCUGGUUUUGCCCUAUGCGGUGGGGACUAUGCAGUAUUAUGGAAACAGUGGUGCAUUGGCAACAUUAGACUGAUGAAUUCAUUCAACAAACAUUAACAGUAUUCUAUGUGUUAUGCUUUGGAAGAUGCAAAAUAAUUGAUAUUUUCAUUGCCUUCAAGAAUCCGUAGUGUGAUGGUACCCUGGGCCUAGGCAUCCUAGGCAAGUGCUCUGCCACUAAGCUACACCUCCAGCACCUUCUUCUGCAUUCCACUUUUUGGACAAUGGAACACUUCAGGAACAUGCAACUUCUGAGUGAAGGCACCAAUAUGCAUUCACUUCCAGGCUGUUUCUUCAUGCUCUACCUUAAACUCUUCCUUUCCUCCCCUUUCAAGAAAGCAGACCAUUUGGCUAACGAUGUACUUCAUGGUAGAGCAUUUGCUUAACAUGCCCAAGGCCCUGGGUUCAAUCUCCAGAACUGUCAAAAAACAAAACAAACAAACAGCAGACCAGACAGUAAAUGGUAUAUUGGUCAGGACAGGUCAUGCUGUGCUUCACAGUUCUUAAAUUGUAUUUCUUGCUCUUGCUAGAACAGAAGAGCUGUGUGAACCUUAGUCACUUAGGGAUUUGGGCUGAUGAGCAGCCACCACUUUGAACAUUUCUGGAGGAAAAGAAAAUUUGGGAGCAGUCAUAGCGAAGAUUUUAGACCUCUCAAUGACAACAAACAGCCUGCUGAAGCUCGUGUGCCAGAGUUUCUCUACCACUGUUCUGUGGCACUGACCCAGACAUUUCACCUACAAUUCGUGGGCUGGAACUAGGUUCAAGAGCCCACCUAACCACUGGAGGGUCUGAAAGAGAGAACUGGAAGUAUUUGACAAAGAAAACUAAUGAUUAUUAUGAUUGUUUGAGAAUGUGUUGAAAAAGCAGUUUGUGCCAGAGUAGAGGUGACCUAAGCAGAAACAGAAACAAUGUGAACAAGGCAGGAUCACAGUGCUGGCCACCCUGACUCAUCAUGCUUCUCCCUACAGCUGUUUCCAAUUCCAUUCCAGUCUAUAAACGUUUCCUAAAGGCAUUACAAUGGAAGGUGGGGCAAAAACAAAACUAUAGGUAUCGUUUAUCUUUUCUUUUUCUUUUUUGAGGUGGUGGUGGUGGUAGUGGGUUGUUGGUUUUUUGAGACAAGAUCUCACUAUGUAGUCAUGCUGGCCUUGAGCUCUCUGUGUUGCUUAGACUGGGCUUGAACUUGUGAUCCUCCUGCCUCAACCUCCUGAGUGCUGGGAUUACAGGCAUGUGCUACUAUUCACAUCUCACUUUUCUUUUGAAUGUUCACUCAGACUACUUUAGGGUCACCUUGAGAAAAACCAACAAAGUUUCAACAGUGGCCCUAAAUCAAACCUAAGUAUGUAUAUAUGAGCAUUUAGACUAUAAAGGUAUGUAGAAAGGCACUGAGUUAAUUGGUAUUUUUUUUAAAAGAUCCUCUCAUCAUAUCAUUUUCUAACAUGUAUAAAUUUACUAACAUAUACAUAAUACAGAUACAUUUGGCAUAUUACACCAAAGGCAAAACCAACAAAAGCAAAAAUAGGUAAAUUGGACUUCAUUAAAAUAAAAAGCUUUUAUGCUUCUAAGAAAACCAUCAAGAAAGUAAAAAGAC
This 2244-nucleotide long non-coding RNA is filed under the name Heterocephalus glaber (naked mole-rat). RNAcentral describes it as "lncRNA (ENSHGLG00100038564.1)". The record is from RNAcentral. Lineage: Eukaryota; Metazoa; Chordata; Mammalia; Rodentia; Bathyergidae.